AUGGGCUCGAGGCCGCGGUUGUGGCCGGAGGAGAUCCGGUGGUGCCUCGGUGGUAGCGGCAGCGAGGGCGUGGCACUGGCUAUAUGGGGCACUCCAUGCGGGAUCCUUCCCGAGAGCGAGGGGCUGCUUAGGCUCUUCGGCUGGCCCCGCCGCUCAUGGAGCCGCCCGCCUCCGAGUCCUUGGUGGCACUCCCCCUGCAUCACUUUCGGCAGCGGCGGGGACGGCGGGGACGGCGGGUCGCUGCCUGCUGGCGGUGAUGUGGCGUACCUCGAUGACGGGCCGACGAGGACCCGAGCCGCCAUGCCAUUCAAGCCCUCUUCGGCUGCUCCGACCGCCUCGACCAAGCGGUCAUGGUCGCGGCGGCCGCCGACCAGGUGA
Molecule: ribosomal RNA, 378 nt
Filed under: Triticum aestivum (bread wheat)
Lineage: Eukaryota; Viridiplantae; Streptophyta; Magnoliopsida; Poales; Poaceae
Description: partial small subunit ribosomal RNA
Source: RNAcentral